CAGGGUCUCAGUCUCUGUUCUAGAGACAGUCGUGAGACAGAUGAGAGAAUCUUUGGACCAUCUCUUACAGGUCUCCUUGUGCUUUGAGUAUGAAUAGAUAGUGUCGGUUUUCCAUUAGGAGAUCUAUGUACAAUAGCUUUGUACAUUACACUCUGGUAUCUUAUGGAAUGUCAUUUUAGGGUCUGUCAAAGAUCUCUCACAAUAAUGUUGCACUCCAUCAACUUGCUCAGCAAUUGCCAAUAAAUCUCAGAUCAGCAAUUGUCAGUAAAUCCCAGAUGCUUGUCUUUUGUUCCUGGGAUACUUCCUCAAAUUUAUUUCCUCUGUUCAUCAGUCCUGCCACAUGCAGAAUGAAGGCAGCAGACUUAAUGCCUCAAGCACCUGGAAAUGUUGGUAUACACCCUCCAGUUGGGCCAUGGAGCAUUGUUGGACCUUCCAUUACUUCCAUGGCAGUGGUAUGUGGAUCACCUGGUUUGCUCUUUACACUCCCGCUAACCCAUCCUUCAGGAAUGGCCUCCCACAGAGGGAAAGAGUGGUGGCAUGCUGCUACAAAGUGUUUAAAAUAGCUGGAUGAAGAAUGGGUGAGCCCCCAACCCAUGGCAAUUAGAUGGAGCUAGAAAAGGUAUAGUCCACCUUGGGCUGUCCUUAUCUCAACACAGGGAGUAGAGCUCAUGGGUCUGCACUUGCCACAAGGGCUGAGGACCCCAUAUCACACACAGAAUAGAGCAAGUGGGGAAAGAAACUAGCUGGGCUAGCACGCUAUAUUAGUGAAAGUCCUUCUGGCUACAACAUCAGCCAGAGCAAAACUGAUGAGAGCUCUCAGUCUUCAGAUUUCCAUAUGUAGGCUGAUCAGCAAAUGGGGUCUGGCAGGAAGAAACCCUGUGGGGAUGCUAUCACACAGGUGCCCAGAUGUGUUGUGAAGAUAGUUUUUGCAGCUUUUACUGAAACAUCUGAUAUCAGCCACUGUCGGGAUUGAGAUAAGGGCCUAAAGGGAUAUUCAUCUUGCCCAGUGCAGCAUCUCCCGUGCUCACAAAGGCCCUCUGUUUUCCCUUCCCUUUUGUUUACUGCUUGGAUACAUGGCUUGUUUGUUUUUCUAUGCAGCAGUUGUCCCUUUGUGUGUCUGAGCAAGACUAGGCACACAGUGAGCUUUACUGUUGUGUGGAUGCUUGUCACUUGCUCUAUACACCUCUUGCAGAAGAAAGCGCUGCCCUCUCCCACUGCUGUCUCCCUUCCCUCCAGGGCUCAUGAGUCCAACUGCUCCCUGCAGAUAUUUGCAAAACUUCCUAUACCCUGUUCCCCACAUAUACAACUACCUUUUACCCACAUCUUCAUCCCAGCAUUAAUUCCCCAACAGCACAGCUCCUUCCUCAGCUUCCUCAGGCCCGUGUUGCCUUCCCUUGCAUGCCAGUGCCUAUGGCACCACAUUCCCAAUCCAGAACAGUCCUUUUUAUUUUGCCUUUCCUUCCCAAGCCAUUUGUACUAACUCAGGCUUUGCUGAUUUCUGUAGUUAAAAAUAAAUAAAUAAAUAAAUAAGCUAAGCUAACCCUCUCUUCUGGGGAGUAUUGGGUUCAAGUUUCUCCAAUUUAAUACACAAAUAUUAUAUGCUGGGAAAUUUGCUUUGGAUGAUGACACGAUCAUCCAAAUGAGGGAUGCCAGAGCCUGGGCUCUGCGAGCUCAUUUUCCAUCUCUUCUGCCCUUCAGGUAAGAGUGCUCAGCCUUCUUAGUUUCUCUUCCCAUAUCACUCAUACAACCUCUCUUCUUCACAUAUCAGCAGCUCAUCUUGAAAGGGUUAUCAUUUACUUUUUGAAGACAAGACUCUAAAUGGAUAAUGUCCAGCUUUGAUAGUGCUCUCAGUCCUUGAAUGCACUAUAAAACAGUCAGCAGACUAAAUACUAAUUAGUCAGCAGACUAAUAACUGAGCCUUUCUGCUCAGUUGCAUCAUGGCCUGUGGCCUUCCCUCAGCUCAGGUGUUCUCUGCUUUAAUCCAUCCCUCCCAGUACUCCAGGGGCCUGAAUGGUUCUGCAGAGACAACAUCAACCCGGAGCAUAGAGCUUUCUGGAGGAACAACUGGGACUGGGAUGGUCAGUGUAACCUCAUCACCUUUGUCUGAAGACCAGGGGCUGAGAGAUAUCAGUAAAGCCCUUCCCCUGCUGCUUCAGUUGCUUCUGCCUGAGAGACCACUUGGCCAUCCCAACGUUUCCAUCUUACAACACAGGAGUGAAGGGAUUUUGUGUCCAGCUUCUUGAUCUUGAACAGUACCAUAACUCCUAGGCCCCACCCUCUGCACAAGACACUGGGGGCUAUGGACCUCACAUUCACAGACUGCUCUGUCAAUCUAGCUCCUGCUCCUGUCCCGCUCCUGUUCCAAUGCCUCCAUCCACUGAACUGACUGCAAGCUGCAGAGAGCAGAAAGAGGAGAAGGCCUGACCAGGAGAAAAAUCCAGCUGUCAGAGGAAGUGUCAUCUGGAAACAAUGGGAUCAGAAGGCAGAGAGUUAGGAGACAGUGGGAGGAUUCGGAAGUUUUCCUGGAGUUCUGCUAAUUGGCUGAGCAUCCUCAGAUACUCAUCAGCUAGCCUAUAAAAUCUAAAGAGGUGUGAAGCUGUCUCCUGGUUAGAGAUGUCCAGGCUCACAGAACAGUUAAGUGAGCCAGCCAGCACCCAAACUUCAGAAAGAAACCUAGGCCUGAGAAAAGAGGAAGUACAGGUAAUGCCUCACCUGCUCAGUUUCCAGACACCCUGUGCUUCAUAGUCCAGCUAAGGCACAAACCUGCACAGAACCCACCAGGCUAACAUUCUUCCAACACGGAAGUGUCAGCAGCCUGCUAGCAACCUGCCUGCAGAUUGGCAGUGUUUGAGCCAUGGCAACAGGGGUCCCAGCCAAGAUGAGGGUGCUGGCCUGUGCUAGCGUAGAGUUUAUUUUCUUCCCAGUGGCUGGUAUGGGGCUAUGUUUUGGAUUUGUGCUGAACACUGGGCUGAUAACACAGAGAUGUUUUUGUUAUUGUUGAGCAAGGCCUGCAUAGACCUGAGGCCUUUUCUGCUCUCUGUACUGCCAUGGCUGACAAGGAAUUUGGAGACAAAUACAAGGCACCUGUGAUGCGGCCCUGCUCUCCUGGGGAUGACUGAACACCUGCCUACCCAUGGGAAGUGGUGGAUAAAUUUCUUGUAUGGCUUUGCCUGUGUGUUUGUCUUUUGGUUUCCCUAUUAAACUCUCUUUAUCUCAA
Non-coding RNA from Cyanistes caeruleus (blue tit), 3217 nucleotides. NCBI's taxonomy places the organism in Eukaryota, Metazoa, Chordata, Aves, Passeriformes, Paridae. The record is from RefSeq and is a predicted model, not a curated record.